AUGGAAGCACCAGCUCAGCCUCCCUGCCUCCUGUUACUCUGGCUCCCAGAUACCACAGAACAAGACAUGAUGACACAGUCUCCAGCCUCCCUAUCUUUGUUUCCAGGAGAAAGAGCUACCCUCACCUGCAGGACCAGUCAGAGUGUUAGCAGCUACUUAGCCUGGUACCAGCAGAAACCUGGGCAGGCCCCCAGGCCCCUCAUCUAUGGUGCAUCCACCAGGCCCACCGGCAUCCCUGCCCAGUUCAGUGGCAGUGGGUCUGGGACAGAGUUUACUCUCACCAUCAGCAGCCUGCAGCCUGAAGAUUGUGCAGUUUACUAUUGUCAGCAGUAUAAUUCCUCUCCCCAUAGUUUUGGAGGCAGUACUCUGAUUUUAUUGAGAUGUUGA
Molecule: non-coding RNA, 387 nt
Organism: Diceros bicornis minor
Lineage: Eukaryota; Metazoa; Chordata; Mammalia; Perissodactyla; Rhinocerotidae
Source: the annotation of a RefSeq genome assembly